This 274-nucleotide ribosomal RNA is filed under the name uncultured bacterium. RNAcentral describes it as "partial 16S ribosomal RNA". It matches the Rfam family "Bacterial small subunit ribosomal RNA", at positions 523 to 796 of the family's 1533-position model. The record is from RNAcentral.
AUACGGAGGGUGCGAGCGUUAAUCGGAAUUACUGGGCGUAAAGCGCGCGCAGGCGGCUGGGUCAGUCGGAUGUGAAAGCCCCGGGCUUAACCUGGGAAUUGCAUUCGAUACUGCCCGGCUAGAGUAUGGGAGAGGGAAGUGGAAUUUCCGGUGUAGCGGUGAAAUGCGUAGAUAUCGGAAGGAACACCAGUGGCGAAGGCGGCUUCCUGGCCCAAUACUGACGCUCAGGUGCGAAAGCGUGGGGAGCGAACAGGAUUAGAAACCCCGGUAGUCC